UAAUAAGUGUUUUAUGGCACUUUUUAAAUCCAUAUCCACCUUGUGUGCAAUGUUAAGAGGAACCAGUUGGAGAGAUUUCGAUCUUUCUUUCUCGUUCUUUUUUCAUAACAAACUCAUUUUUUUAACAUAUUGUCUGAAAACUAUUAUGAAUACUUAAUUCAAAAUA
RNAcentral lists this unclassified non-coding RNA (166 nucleotides) under uncultured Mortierellales. RNAcentral's name for it is "sequence contains ITS1". Lineage: Eukaryota; Fungi; Mortierellomycota; Mortierellomycetes; Mortierellales. The record is from RNAcentral.